Molecule: ribosomal RNA, 406 nt
Filed under: uncultured bacterium
Lineage: Bacteria
Description: bacterial SSU rRNA
Rfam family: Bacterial small subunit ribosomal RNA
Source: RNAcentral
UGGGGGAUAUUGCACAAUGGGCGAAAGCCUGAUGCAGCGACGCCGCGUGAGGGAAGACGGUUUUCGGAUUGUAAACCUCUGUCGAGGGGGACGAAGGAAGUGACGGUACCCCUUGAGGAAGCCACGGCUAACUACGUGCCAGCAGCCGCGGUAAUACGUAGGUGGCAAGCGUUGUCCGGAAUUACUGGGUGUAAAGGGAGCGUAGGCGGGGAUGCAAGUUGAAUGUAUAAACGGCCGGCUCAACCGGCCGAAGCGUUCAAAACUGCAUUUCUUGAGUGGAGUAGAGGCAGGCGGAAUUCCUAGUGUAGCGGUGAAAUGCGUAGAUAUUAGGAGGAACACCAGUGGCGAAGGCGGCCUGCUGGGCUCUAACUGACGCUGAGGCUCGAAAGCGUGGGUAGCAAACAGG